UAUGCCCAUAUCACAUUGAAACACCAGUUCUUGUCUGAUCCCUAAAGUUAAACAACAUUGAGCAGGGUCAGUACUUAGACAGGUGACAGCUUGGGAAUACCAGGUACGGU
Molecule: non-coding RNA, 110 nt
Organism: Acanthosepion pharaonis
Lineage: Eukaryota; Metazoa; Mollusca; Cephalopoda; Sepiida; Sepiidae
Source: the annotation of a GenBank genome assembly